RNAcentral lists this transfer RNA (110 nucleotides) under Candidatus Thorarchaeota archaeon. RNAcentral describes it as "tRNA-Leu". It matches the Rfam family "tRNA". From Rfam's summary of the family: Transfer RNA (tRNA) molecules are approximately 80 nucleotides in length. Lineage: Archaea; Promethearchaeati; Candidatus Thorarchaeota. The record is from RNAcentral.
GCGGAGGUUGCCGAGCCAGGUCAAAGGCGCAGGGCUUAGGAUCCUGACGUCUUCAGAUUUGAGAGCCUCUCUGUAGGGAUUCGCGAGUUCGAAUCUCGCCCUCCGCACCA